This 1096-nucleotide unclassified non-coding RNA is filed under the name Hevea brasiliensis (rubber tree). Lineage: Eukaryota; Viridiplantae; Streptophyta; Magnoliopsida; Malpighiales; Euphorbiaceae. The record is from RNAcentral.
CCUGUUUCCUGUGUUUCUAAUCUUCUCUGCUUCACCCAUUAUACUUGGAAAAUCCAUACCAGUCCAAUCCUUAGGCAUCUCAAAACCAAGCAGCUCAAUUUCCCAUUGAAUAUGGGCACCUUCAGGAAUAUUAGCUGGCCUCUGGAACUUGUCAUAUGCAUAAUCAGGAGGACAAGUAACAAGAGCUAUCUCUCCUGGAAGCAUUAAACGAACACACAUUUCAAANUCCUUCAGGGAUUAGCCCUUCUCCAGAACUGAACUCCAAAGGCUGACCAUCAUUAUCAACUCUUGUAUCAUAGAAGAUCUUCUUUUCCUCAUUAAGAAGCAUACCCUUGUAAUGUACUCGUAGUAGACUGUCAUGAAGGGGGCAAUCCAUGGGAAAUUCACCUCUUCCAUCACGAAGCCGACGCUUUAUCAGGCGCCCAUCUCCAAGCAUGUCCCGCACCUGAGUGAAAUGGACAAGCUCCACUUCAAAAUGAACUUCAUCAAAACCUUCCACCAUAGACAGCAGAGGAGACUCGGUUAAGUACUGGUUGGUAACAUAUAUUACUGCUUUCUCUUCUCGUGACAUUGUUCCCAUCCCCAUUUCAAGGCCCUUAGGUACCUCAGAUUUCCCAAAAGUAAAGCAAUAUGGUUCUUGUGUAUGUGAUAAAAUUACUUUCCCAUUGCCCGUCUUUGCAGAAAUCCUAGCCUUUACUUCAUAAGGUUCCCUUGGAGAUUCCCAGCCCAACCCUUCAUUUACUACCUUCUUUAUAACUCCCAAAUCAUCACUGACAACCUUGACUUUAGAAAAGUCUAUCAUCUCAAUCUCAAAAUGAAGUUCAUCUUCCUGUGGAAAGCUACUUGGAGGUGAAACUGGACAAUCAACCUCGCAAUAGUGCAUUUCAGGUUUCAUCUUGAACAUUGCCACUUCACCCUUCAGCAUUGUUGGAAGUCCUUCCAGCAAUCCUAGUAUCAUCUUACUUUUGCCCAAAACUUGUCUUAUUGGAGUGUCCUUGCCUCCAUAUUCCAACCUAGUAGACUCUACAACAACUCCGUCCAAUGUUCUAACAGUGCAAUGGUAUAUGACCUGGUCACCAUCUGAUGGUCUAGCAUC